RNAcentral lists this ribosomal RNA (773 nucleotides) under Staphylococcus aureus. RNAcentral's name for it is "partial 23S ribosomal RNA". It matches the Rfam family "Bacterial large subunit ribosomal RNA", at positions 1108 to 1882 of the family's 2925-position model. The record is from RNAcentral. Lineage: Bacteria; Bacillati; Bacillota; Bacilli; Caryophanales; Staphylococcaceae.
AGAAGCAGCCAUCAUUUAAAGAGUGCGUAAUAGCUCACUAGUCGAGUGACACUGCGCCGAAAAUGUACCGGGGCUAAACAUAUUACCGAAGCUGUGGAUUGUCCUUUGGACAAUGGUAGGAGAGCGUUCUAAGGGCGUUGAAGCAUGAUCGUAAGGACAUGUGGAGCGCUUAGAAGUGAGAAUGCCGGUGUGAGUAGCGAAAGACGGGUGAGAAUCCCGUCCACCGAUUGACUAAGGUUUCCAGAGGAAGGCUCGUCCGCUCUGGGUUAGUCGGGUCCUAAGCUGAGGCCGACAGGCGUAGGCGAUGGAUAACAGGUUGAUAUUCCUGUACCACCUAUAAUCGUUUUAAUCGAUGGGGGGACGCAGUAGGAUAGGCGAAGCGUGCGAUUGGAUUGCACGUCUAAGCAGUAAGGCUGAGUAUUAGGCAAAUCCGGUACUCAUUAAGGCUGAGCUGUGAUGGGGAGAAGACAUUGUGUCUUCGAGUCGUUGAUUUCACACUGCCGAGAAAAGCCUCUAGAUAGAAAAUAGGUGCCCGUACCGCAAACCGACACAGGUAGUCAAGAUGAGAAUUCUAAGGUGAGCGAGCGAACUCUCGUUAAGGAACUCGGCAAAAUGACCCCGUAACUUCGGGAGAAGGGGUGCUCUUUAGGGUUAACGCCCAGAAGAGCCGCAGUGAAUAGGCCCAAGCGACUGUUUAUCAAAAACACAGGUCUCUGCUAAACCGUAAGGUGAUGUAUAGGGGCUGACGCCUGCCCGGUGCUGGAAGGUUAAGA